RNAcentral lists this ribosomal RNA (1715 nucleotides) under Monostichoplana filum. RNAcentral describes it as "eukaryotic LSU rRNA". It matches the Rfam family "Eukaryotic large subunit ribosomal RNA", at positions 16 to 1510 of the family's 3401-position model. The record is from RNAcentral. Lineage: Eukaryota; Metazoa; Platyhelminthes; Proseriata; Otoplanidae.
UAGGUCGACCCGCUGAAYUUAAGCAUAUCAGUAAGCGGAGGAAAAGAAACUAACAAGGAUUCCCCUAGUAACGGCGAGUGAAGAGGGAAAAGCCCAGCACUGAAUCCAACAGUUUACGCUGUUUGGAAAUGUAGUGUUUAGGUAUCAUUUUGCACUAUUCGACUUGUCCCAAGUCCGCUUGAUUGCGGCUCUUUGUGCCCAGAGAGGGUGUUAGGCCCGUAGGGGCAGGUUGGGUGGUGCCUGAUGUUACCUUAGAGUCGGGUUGUUUGUGAAUGCAGCCCAAAGCGGGUGGUAAACUCCAUCCAAGGCUAAAUACUUACACGAGACCGAUAGUCAACAAGUACCGCGAGGGAAAGUUGAAAAGAACUUUGAAGAGAGAGUUCAAUAGUACGUGAAACCGCUCAGAGGUAAACGGGUGGCGCUGAAGUGAUCCCGGGAAUUCAGCCGGUUAAGACGUUGGUGAUUUUUGCGGGAAAUGGCUCCUUGUCUUUCCAGCUUAUUUUGUCCGGCGUUUUGACUGGUGCACUUUCCCUGGGGUCUAUACCACGACCGGUCAAUCGAGAUGCCUUCUGCGUUCGGGUUGGUAGCGUAGUCUCCUAGAUUGCGUGAAAGCCUGUUUGCGUUGUGUGUCCGGAGGACCGAGGACUCGACAUAAGCCGUCCCGGCGCGCAUAUAUUCAGCGAGGUUGGCAUCGUUGGUUGGACUGCCUGGCAGACUAGCCGGUUUUGUCUCCUUUGCCUGGGUAUCGCUGCGCAAUGUGUCAAUAGUCUGUGGUGUUAAGUAGGUUACCCACCCGACCCGUCUUGAAACACGGACCAAGAAGUACAACAUAUGCGCGAGUCAAAGGGUCUUACGAAACCCCAAGGCGAAAUGAAAGUGAAGGCUGACUUUGUCAGCUUAGGUGUGAUCCCGUGACCGACAAGUUCCGGCGGGCGCAACACCGGCCCGUCUGCAAGUAUUUAGUUACUGGGGCGGAGCUUGAGCGCAUAUGCUGUGACCCGAAAGAUGGUGACCUAUGCUUGCGCAGGUUGAAGCCAGAGGAAACUCUGGUGGAGGACCGACAGCGAUUCUGACGUGCAAAUCGAUCGUCAGACGUGAGUAUAGGGGCGAAAGACUAAUCGAACCAUCUAGUAGCUGGUUCCCUCCGAAGUUUCCCUCAGGAUAGCUGGCACUCAUUUGAAUUCAGUUUUAUCCGGUAAAGCGAAUGAUUAGAGGUAUUGGGGACGAAAUGUCCUCAACCUAUUCUCAAACUUUUAAUGGGUAAGAGGUAGAACUUUCUUAAUUGAAGUUUUACGUUGAAUGAGAGUGCCCAGUGGGCCUCUUUUGGUAAGCAGAUUAGGCGCUGUGGGAUGAACCAAACGCUUGGUUAAGGUGCCAAACGCAACACUCAUCAGAUACCACAAAAGGUAUUGGUUGGUCUAGACAGCAGGACGGUGGCCAUGGAAGUUGGAAUCCGCUAAGGAGUGUGUAACAACUCACCUGCCAAAUCAACCAGUCCUGAAAAUGGAUGGCGCUUGAGUGUUGUGACCUAUACCAGGCCGACAGGGAAAGUAAACCUUGAGCAGGCAAGUAAUCCCUGUCGAGUAGGAGGGACACCGUGAUGAGCAUGGAAGCCACUGCUGUGAAGCGGGGUGGAGCCGUCACGGUAGCAGAUCUUGGUGGUAGUAGCAAAUAUUCAAGUGAGAACCUUGAAGACUGAAGUGGAGAAGGGUUCC